GACGAACGCUGGCGGCGUGCCUAACACAUGCAUGUCGAGCGAAUGAAGUUCCUUCGGGAACGGAUUUAGCGGCGGACGGGUGAGUAACACGUGGGCAACCUGCCUCAUAGAGGGGAAUAGCCUUCCGAAAGGGAGACUAAUACCGCAUAAGAUUGUAGUACCGCAUGGUACAGCAAUUAAAGGAGCAAUCCGCUAUGAGAUGGGCCCGCGGCGCAUUAGCUAGUUGGUGAGGUAACGGCUCACCAAGGCGACGAUGCGUAGCCGACCGGAGAGGGUGAUCGGCCACAUUGGGACUGAGACACGGCCCAGACUCCUACGGGAGGCAGCAGUGGGGAAUAUUGCACAAUGGGGGAAACCCUGAUGCAGCAACGCCGCGUGAGUGAUGACGGCCUUCGGGUUGUAAAGCUCUGUCUUCAGGGACGAUAAUGACCGUACCUGAGGAGGAAGCCACGGCUAACUACGUGCCAGCCGCCGCCGUAA
RNAcentral lists this ribosomal RNA (480 nucleotides) under uncultured bacterium. Its description in RNAcentral is "partial 16S ribosomal RNA". It matches the Rfam family "Bacterial small subunit ribosomal RNA", at positions 28 to 523 of the family's 1533-position model. The record is from RNAcentral.